Molecule: non-coding RNA, 31 nt
Filed under: Mus musculus (house mouse)
Lineage: Eukaryota; Metazoa; Chordata; Mammalia; Rodentia; Muridae
Source: RNAcentral
UCCAGACCUCAAAGACCCACUAGAUCAAGCC